Molecule: unclassified non-coding RNA, 311 nt
Filed under: uncultured fungus
Lineage: Eukaryota; Fungi
Description: partial contains 5.8S ribosomal RNA, internal transcribed spacer 2, and large subunit ribosomal RNA
Source: RNAcentral
AACGCACAUAGCGCCCGCCAGCUCUCUGGCGGGCAUGCCCGUCCGAGCGUCGAUUACACCGCUCGAGCGCGCCUCCCUACCCGGGGAGGUCGUCGCUCGGUGUUGGGGCAGUAGGGGGGAAGUCUCUCCCCUACGCCCCCAAAAGCAUUGCGCGGCCCUCGCAUCAGGACCCAAGCACAGUAAACUUCUCACGUUGAGCUGCUUAGGGACACCUACGCCGAGGCGCCAGCCGUAAAACCCCCAACAUAGGCCUGCUCGCCAGGCCGCCUGAUGUUGACCUCGGAUCGGGUAGGACGACCCGCUGAACUUAA